Molecule: ribosomal RNA, 720 nt
Filed under: Escherichia coli
Lineage: Bacteria; Pseudomonadati; Pseudomonadota; Gammaproteobacteria; Enterobacterales; Enterobacteriaceae
Description: partial 23S ribosomal RNA
Rfam family: Bacterial large subunit ribosomal RNA
Source: RNAcentral
AUGUGUAGGAUAGGUGGGAGGCUUUGAAGUGUGGACGCCAGUCUGCAUGGAGCCGACCUUGAAAUACCACCCUUUAAUGUUUGAUGUUCUAACGUUGACCCGUAAUCCGGGUUGCGGACAGUGUCUGGUGGGUAGUUUGACUGGGGCGGUCUCCUCCUAAAGAGUAACGGAGGAGCACGAAGGUUGGCUAAUCCUGGUCGGACAUCAGGAGGUUAGUGCAAUGGCAUAAGCCAGCUUGACUGCGAGCGUGACGGCGCGAGCAGGUGCGAAAGCAGGUCAUAGUGAUCCGGUGGUUCUGAAUGGAAGGGCCAUCGCUCAACGGAUAAAAGGUACUCCGGGGAUAACAGGCUGAUACCGCCCAAGAGUUCAUAUCGACGGCGGUGUUUGGCACCUCGAUGUCGGCUCAUCACAUCCUGGGGCUGAAGUAGGUCCCAAGGGUAUGGCUGUUCGCCAUUUAAAGUGGUACGCGAGCUGGGUUUAGAACGUCGUGAGACAGUUCGGUCCCUAUCUGCCGUGGGCGCUGGAGAACUGAGGGGGGCUGCUCCUAGUACGAGAGGACCGGAGUGGACGCAUCACUGGUGUUCGGGUUGUCAUGCCAAUGGCACUGCCCGGUAGCUAAAUGCGGAAGAGAUAAGUGCUGAAAGCAUCUAAGCACGAAACUUGCCCCGAGAUGAGUUCUCCCUGACCCUUUAAGGGUCCUGAAGGAACGUUGAAGACGAC